CGAUGCACUAAGAUUAUCAUUAUGCAAUAUAACAAUAUUCUUACAUUCAUUCUACUUAUGCACGUAACAUCCUCGCCGCUAUAGAAUUAAAUAUUAAAAGGAUGUAUUUCUUAAAUACCAAAAGUCAUUUUUUUUCCUCUUCCUAAUAUUUAACCCUCUGUUCAUAAAGAUUGCUAUCUGACGAAGUAUCUUUUAAAUAAUCGUAAUAUGGCGACACGUUGAGACUUCAUUUGAAAUUUACAUUAGUUUCUUCUGAUUGGUUUCUACUAUUAACAACGGCCAUUUUUAUUUCGAGAUCUGAAUAGAUAUUGUCCGGAAACUGAGGAGACUAAGCGUAUAAUGGGAUGAAAAGUCAUUCUAUCGAUCCAGAUAGAGAGAGAACUAUAAAUUGAUUCAGUAGAAUAUGACAUAAGAGUAUUUAUUUAUUUUUUUCCCCGUGCAUAAAAUAAAAUAGGUCACGCCACUUAAGAAUAUUUUAUGUUAAUACAUCAAAAAUUUAUCUAGAAUGUCGAGUUAUCUGCAUAUACUCCAUGUUUGUUUUUUUUUUUUGGAACAUCGUGAGGAUUUUACAAAUAAGGAGGUUUUACGUGCUCGAUAUAUCACCUUGCAAACCGUCCUUUAAUUUUAAAUUCUUCUAAAAUUAUAUAAUGUAUUCAAAUUCGUGUCUUUUAAUAACUUCAGAUAUCAUUCGUCAAUUAGAAAUAAAUUCUAAAUACAGUC
Centruroides sculpturatus (bark scorpion) is the source of this 720-nucleotide long non-coding RNA. RefSeq lists it as uncharacterized. Lineage: Eukaryota; Metazoa; Arthropoda; Arachnida; Scorpiones; Buthidae. The transcript is spliced from 3 exons. The record is from RefSeq and is a predicted model, not a curated record.